This 703-nucleotide ribosomal RNA is filed under the name endophytic bacterium CR11b. Its description in RNAcentral is "bacterial SSU rRNA". It matches the Rfam family "Bacterial small subunit ribosomal RNA", at positions 800 to 1499 of the family's 1533-position model. The record is from RNAcentral.
CCGGAUACGUUGGGACUAGUUGUGGGGUCCAUUCCACGGAUUCCGUGACGCAGCUAACGCAUUAAGUUCCCCGCCUGGGGAGUACGGCCGCAAGGCUAAAACUCAAAGGAAUUGACGGGGACCCGCACAAGCGGCGGAGCAUGCGGAUUAAUUCGAUGCAACGCGAAGAACCUUACCAAGGCUUGACAUAUACGAGAACGGGCCAGAAAUGGUCAACUCUUUGGACACUCGUAAACAGGUGGUGCAUGGUUGUCGUCAGCUCGUGUCGUGAGAUGUUGGGUUAAGUCCCGCAACGAGCGCAACCCUCGUUCUAUGUUGCCAGCACGUAAUGGUGGGAACUCAUGGGAUACUGCCGGGGUCAACUCGGAGGAAGGUGGGGAUGACGUCAAAUCAUCAUGCCCCUUAUGUCUUGGGCUUCACGCAUGCUACAAUGGCCGGUACAAAGGGCUGCAAUACCGCGAGGUGGAGCGAAUCCCAAAAAGCCGGUCCCAGUUCGGAUUGAGGUCUGCAACUCGACCUCAUGAAGUCGGAGUCGCUAGUAAUCGCAGAUCAGCAACGCUGCGGUGAAUACGUUCCCGGGUCUUGUACACACCGCCCGUCAAGUCAUGAAAGUCGGUAACACCUGAAGCCGGUGGCCUAACCCUUGUGGAGGGAGCCGUCGAAGGUGGGAUCGGUAAUUAGGACUAAGUCGUAAAAAGGGUAG